Molecule: ribosomal RNA, 1394 nt
Filed under: human gut metagenome
Description: bacterial LSU rRNA
Rfam family: Bacterial large subunit ribosomal RNA
Source: RNAcentral
GGCUAUUCGUCGGCAGCGUCAGAUGUGUAUAAGAGACAGUUUAAAGAGUGCGUAACAGCUCACUAGUCGAAUGACUCUGCGCCGAUAAUUUACCGGGGCUAAGCAUACUACCGAAGCUAUGGAUCCCAAGGGAUGGUAGGGGAGCGUUCCAUGAACGGAGAAGUACGACCGAAAGGACGUGUGGAGAUCAUGGAAGAGAGAAUGCCGGUGUGAGUAGCGGAACGUGGGUGAGAAUCCCACGCACCGAAAACCCAAGGUUUCCAGAGGAAGGUUCGUCCGCUCUGGGUAAGUCGGGACCUAAGGCGAGGCCGAAAGGCGUAGUCGAUGGACAACAGGUAGAGAUUCCUGUACCCGUAUAUAUGUGAAGGAAUGACGGAGAGAGGAAGCUGCAGCCAGCGGCUGGAAGAGCUGGUGCAAGCGAGAUAUCGGGAUGGCAGGCAAAUCCACCAUCCGAAACGAGAAGGCGUGAAGCGUACGGAAAGCUACGGCGAGUACGGAAGGCAGUGGAGGAACUUCCAAGAAAAGUUUCUAGCGUUAAGUAUAUAUGGCCCGUACCGAAAAUGGACACACAUGGGUGAGGAGAGAAUCCUAAGGUGAGCGAGAGAACUAUAGCUAAGGAACUCUGCAAAAUGACUCCGUAACUUAGGGAGAAGGAGUGCUCAUAGAGAUAUGAGCCGCAGUGAAACGGCCCAAGCGACUGUUUACCAAAAACACAGCUCUCUGCUAAGCCGCAAGGCGAAGUAUAGGGGGUGACGCCUGCCCGGUGCUGGAAGGUUAAGGGGAGGGGUUAACGCAAGUGAAGCCCUGAACUGAAGCCCCAGUAAACGGCGGCCGUAACUAUAACGGUCCUAAGGUAGCGAAAUUCCUUGUCAGGUAAGUUCUGACCCGCACGAAAGGCGUAACGAUUUGGGCGCUGUCUCAGCUGUAGACUCGGUGAAGUCUUAGUACCUGUGAAGAUGCAGGUUACCCGCGACUAGACGGAAAGACCCCAUGGAGCUUCACUGCAGGUUGAUAUUGGGAUUUGAUGCAGCAUGUACAGGAUAGGUAGGAGGCAAAGAGAUGGAUACGCCAGUAUUCAAGGAGCCGCUGUUGGGAUACUACCCCUGUUGUAUUGGAUUUCUAACCGGACGACGUAGAGCCGUUGACGGGACAGUGUCAGUCGGGCAGUUUGACUGGGGCGGUCGCCUCCCAAAGAGUAACGGAGGCGCCCAAAGAUACCCUCAGCUUGGAUGGAAACCAAGCGCAGAGUGCAAAGGCAAAAGGGUGUUUGACUGCGAGACCCACAAGUCGAGCAGGGACGAAAGUCGGGCUUAGUGAUCCGGCGGUGCUGAAUGGAAAGGCCGUCGCUCAACGGAUAAAAGCUACCCUGGGGAUAACAGGCUGAUCUCCCCCAA